AAAAGGAAAGGUUAGGUUACCUUCUGGCAGGCCUGACUUCAAAAGCUCUUCAACUAAGUGUAUAUUCAAAGCAACUUGAUCAGUUUUUUUACAAGUAAUCUGUAUCUAUCUUCAUAAUUUAAUCUUUCAAGUUACAAUUGACAGCUCCAGAUUAUUGUCCUUGAAUGUCUUCUCCAGUGAUAUUUAUAUUUGACUUCAUCCAAUUUUUUCUUUGUUUUCUUCGGCACUCAAAACAAUCAGCACAUGUGUAGAUUAACUUCUAGGCGAGUAACUGGAAUGAAGCUUGCUGGGUGAUACUUUCAGGUCUUCCACCAGUACCUGACGAAGCUUCUCAUUUUCCUCCAUAAGCUCUUCAAUGACUUGCUGGUGUUUUAACACCGCCAUGGAAGGGAAAUGUAAUCAUCUAACAAAUAUAAUCCAUGAACAAUGAAUUGCAGACUUGCAGAAGUGCUCUCACCCUUUACACACAUUGCAGGUGUUAUUAACACAAAUUCAUAACAUAUACCACCAUGCAAGAGUUUAGAAGCUCCCAUGCAUCUCAAACCAUUCAAACAAAUUUAGCUACUUCAAUUGUGAAUGAUUACAAAAUUGAGCAAUCCAUUGAGAAUUCCACAUUAGAAAAUUCUUUUAGCUCUUUUGGUCAUUAAAUUCUGCUAUAAUUUCAUUGAUGAUCCAAAUUUUUCUUGGUAAUAACAUCGAUUUGACAAAAUGGUGCUUUAAGAUAAGCAGAGAAUAUAUGAAAUAUUACCAUUUGAAGCAGGUUGUUUUCAGAAUGCUAGCAUCCAGCCUGAAAACAUUUCGUCAAAGAAUUAGACAUAAUAUUUGAAAUAUUUCAUAAAAUAAAUCAUCUCAGUUAUAUGCAAACAAGAGUUUGCAAAUUAAUGUCUUCUAUGUUUCUCAAUGAAAUGGUAUUUCAAAUGCCCAAACAAAACAUGCAAACAAGAGAAUCAUCUCAGGUAUUUCAAAUUGACAAUCAAUUAUGCGGUUCUUUGCUUUUGUGCACUCAGAAAAAGCAUGGGUGGAAAAGCAAAUAAUUCACUCCAAUUAAAUAAAUUCUAGCUGAAAAUAUGAAUCAAUCCUACUGAAGGCAAUCCACUAGCAAGUAACAAAAGCACUUGAGUGAUAAAUUACAAAGCACAGUACCCCUGGAUAAAUUAUCACGAACAACAUUCAAAGGUUUGCACAAUAACUAAAGAAAUCCAUUAAUUAAACAGACCAAGGGACAGAUAAAUGUCAUUGUACAUACCACUUCAUUUAGGUUUUUGUCAUCUUCUUUCAGAAUUGGAUUCUGAAGAAAACUGCUUAUGACCUUUUCCUUUGAGCACCAAACAGUGUGUCAUCCAGACUGCUAGUUUGCGUGGAAUUUUCAUAGUUUGAAAGUGGACUCACAUUACCAUAUCCAUGCAUGACUUCAUGUGUUUGGUUUGGAAGUUUUGUUACCAGUUGCAUGAUACUUCCCAAUGGAUUUUUGGAUUGAACAUUCACUGUGCUCAAGCCACUUUGCACAGCCAAUGGAAGGGCACCUUGACCAAUUGAUAGAUUGGGAACCAUUCCGAAUUUCGCCAUCAUCUUUGUUAUCACUUGCUAACAAAUUUGACAUUCCAAAUUCCGAUUUGAAAUACACGAGUGAUAAAUUUUAAGUGGCAUUAUUUGUGCUUGUGAGUUUUUGUAUCUAUAUAUGAACAGAAAAUAAUGAUGCAUACCAUGGAACAGACUUGAAUCUUCUGCACCACACCAGGUUUCACAGCAAGCCCUGACAAGUAAAAUUAAUUUUUCAGCUAUCAAAUAUGUGGACAAUGAAAAAGUGAAAGGCUGCAGACAGAGCAAUAGUCACAUUACAAAUUCAAUUUAGCACAAACUCUCCAUUGCAUAUAAAUACAAUUCCAGCCGAAUUCAUUUCAGAAUUUGGAAAUAUUGAUAUCCAACAGCAUCUAAUUUGAUUCCUUUACGUUCCUUUCGAACAUUUGCUCAACAGACCCAAUUUCACUUCAUCUAAUGCAACCCUCUAGUAAGUCCACUGUACCCAUAUUAGGGAUGACCAUUGCUUCAUGGCAGACCAAUAGCACAUCUCACCCUCAUCCAUCGUUCAUAGUUAUAUGUAUGAGGAGACUGUUGAUUUGUAA
This 2123-nucleotide unclassified non-coding RNA is filed under the name Hevea brasiliensis (rubber tree). Lineage: Eukaryota; Viridiplantae; Streptophyta; Magnoliopsida; Malpighiales; Euphorbiaceae. The record is from RNAcentral.